RNAcentral lists this non-coding RNA (29 nucleotides) under Mus musculus (house mouse). The record is from RNAcentral. Lineage: Eukaryota; Metazoa; Chordata; Mammalia; Rodentia; Muridae.
UCCAAGCACAGACCUUGAUGAACAGAGAC